GCCGAAGUGGCGGAAUUGGUAGACGCGCUAGGUUCAGGGUCUAGUGAGGGCAACCUCGUAGGGGUUCAAAUCCCCUCUUCGGCA
Molecule: transfer RNA, 84 nt
Filed under: Deltaproteobacteria bacterium
Lineage: Bacteria; Pseudomonadati; Myxococcota; Myxococcia
Description: tRNA-Leu
Rfam family: tRNA
About the family: Transfer RNA (tRNA) molecules are approximately 80 nucleotides in length. Their secondary structure includes four short double-helical elements and three loops (D, anti-codon, and T loops).
Source: RNAcentral